CAUGCAAGUCGAGGGGCAGCAUGGUCUUAGCUUGCUAAGGCCGAUGGCGACCGGCGCACGGGUGAGUAACACGUAUCCAACCUGCCUUAUACUCCCGGACAGCCUUCUGAAAGGAAGAUUAAUACGGGAUGGNAUCACGAGCCAGCAUUUUCUCGUGAUUAAAGAACUUCGGUAUAAGAUGGGGAUGCGUUCCAUUAGAUAGUAGGCGGGGUAACGGCCCACCUAGUCGACGAUGGAUAGGGGUUCUGAGAGGAAGGUCCCCCACAUUGGAACUGAGACACGGUCCAAACUCCUACGGGAGGCAGCAGUGAGGAAUAUUGGUCAAUGGGCGCGAGCCUGAACCAGCCAAGUAGCGUGAAGGAUGACUGCCCUACGGGUUGUAAACUUCUUUUAUAAAGGAAUAAAGUGAGGCACGUGUGCCUUUUUGUAUGUACUUUAUGAAUAAGGAUCGGCUAACUCCGUGCCAGCAGCCGCGGUAAUACGGAGGAUCCGAGCGUUAUCCGGAUUUAUUGGGUUUAAAGGGAGCGUAGAUGGGUUGUUAAGUCAGUUGUGAAAGUUUGCGGCUCAACCGUAAAAUUGCAAUUGAUACUGGCAGUCUUGAGUACAGUUGAGGUAGGCGGAAUUCGUGGUGUAGCGGUGAAAUGCUUAGAUAUCACGAAGAACUCCGAUUGCGAAGGCAGCUUACUAAACUGCCACUGACAUUGAUGCUCGAAAGUGUGGGUAUCAAACAGGAUUAGAUACCCUGGUAGUCCACACGGUAAACGAUGAAUACUCGCUGUUUGCGAUAUACUGCAAGCGGCCAAGCGAAAGCGUUAAGUAUUCCACCUGGGGAGUACGCCGGCAACGGUGAAACUCAAAGGAAUUGACGGGGGCCCGCACAAGCGGAGGAACAUGUGGUUUAAUUCGAUGAUACGCGAGGAACCUUACCCGGGCUUGAAUUGCACUCGAAUAUAGCGGAAACGUUAUAGCUAGCAAUAGCGAGUGUGAAGGUGCUGCAUGGUUGUCGUCAGCUCGUGCCGUGAGGUGUCGGCUUAAGUGCCAUAACGAGCGCAACCCUUGUCUAUAGUUACUAACAGGUGAUGCUGAGGACUCUAUGGAGACUGCCAUCGUAAGAUGUGAGGAAGGUGGGGAUGACGUCAAAUCAGCACGGCCCUUACGUCCGGGGCCACACACGUGUUACAAUGGGGGGUACAGAGGGCCGCUACCACGCAAGUGGAUGCCAAUCCCGAAAGCCUCUCUCAGUUCGGACUGGAGUCUGCAACCCGACUCCACGAAGCUGGAUUCGCUAGUAAUCGCGCAUCAGCCAUGGCGCGGUGAAUACGUUCCCGGGCCUUGUACACACCGCCCGUCAAGCCAUGGGAGCCGGGGGUACCUGAAGUGCGUAACCGCAAGGAGCGCCCUAGG
This 1404-nucleotide ribosomal RNA is filed under the name Phocaeicola sartorii. RNAcentral's name for it is "Bacteroides sartorii partial 16S ribosomal RNA". It matches the Rfam family "Bacterial small subunit ribosomal RNA". The record is from RNAcentral. Lineage: Bacteria; Pseudomonadati; Bacteroidota; Bacteroidia; Bacteroidales; Bacteroidaceae.